Non-coding RNA from Lentinula guzmanii, 106 nucleotides. Lineage: Eukaryota; Fungi; Basidiomycota; Agaricomycetes; Agaricales; Omphalotaceae. The record is from the annotation of a GenBank genome assembly.
UCCUUCUUAGCUCAGUUGGUAGAGCGCGUCACUAGUACUCAUAUUGUCAUCACUAGUACUCAUAUUGUCAAUGACGAGGUCAGUCGUUCAAGUCGGCUAGAAGGAA